RNAcentral lists this ribosomal RNA (490 nucleotides) under uncultured bacterium. Its description in RNAcentral is "partial 16S ribosomal RNA". It matches the Rfam family "Bacterial small subunit ribosomal RNA", at positions 30 to 507 of the family's 1533-position model. The record is from RNAcentral.
AUUGAACGCUGGCGGCAGGCCUAACACAUGCAAGUCGAACGGUAACAGGAAGAAGCUUGCUUCUUUGCUGACGAGUGGCGGGUGGGUGAGUAAUGUGUGGGAAACUGCGUGAUGGAGGGGGAUAACUACUGGAAACGUUAGCUAUUACCUCAGAACGUCGAAAGACCAAAAAGGGGGACCUUCGGGCCCCUCGCCAUUGGAUGUGCCCAGAUGGGAUUAGCUAGUGGGUGGGGUAACGGCUCACCUAGGCGACGAUCCCUAGCUGGUCUGAGAGGAUGACCAGCCACACUGGAACUGAGACACGGUCCAGACUCCUACGGGAGGCAGCAGUGGGGAAUAUUGCACAAUGGGCGCAAGCCUGAUGCAGCCAUGCCGCGUGUAGGAAGAAGGCCUUCGGGUUGUAAAGUACUUUCAGAGGGGAGGAAGGGACUAAAGUUAAUACCUUUGCUUAUUGACGUUACCCGCAGAAGAAGCACCGGCUAACUCCGUG